RNAcentral lists this small nuclear RNA (104 nucleotides) under Castor canadensis (American beaver). Lineage: Eukaryota; Metazoa; Chordata; Mammalia; Rodentia; Castoridae. The record is from RNAcentral.
GAGAAAAGAUAGGCAGCACAUAUAGUAAAACCGGAAUAAUAUGGAGACCAGCAUGGCCCCUGCCUAAGUAUGACACACAAAUUCGUGAAGCAUUUCAUCUUUUU